AGGAUGAACGCUAGCGGCAGGCUUAACACAUGCAAGUCGAGGGGUAUAGUUCUUCGGAACUAGAGACCGGCGCACGGGUGCGUAACGCGUAUGCAAUCUACCUUUUGCAGAGGGAUAGCCCAGAGAAAUUUGGAUUAAUACCUCAUAGUAUGUGAGAAUGGCAUCAUUUUCACAUUAAAGUCACAACGGCAAAAGAUGAGCAUGCGUCCCAUUAGCUUGUUGGUAAGGUAACGGCUUACCAAGGCAACGAUGGGUAGGGGUCCUGAGAGGGAGAUCCCCCACACUGGUACUGAGACACGGACCAGACUCCUACGGGAGGCAGCAGUGAGGAAUAUUGGACAAUGGGCGCAAGCCUGAUCCAGCCAUGCCGCGUGCAGGAUGACGGUCCUAUGGAUUGUAAACUGCUUUUGUACAGGAAGAAACACUGGUUCGUGAACCAGCUUGACGGUACUGUAAGAAUAAGGAUCGGCUAACUCCGUG
Molecule: ribosomal RNA, 480 nt
Filed under: uncultured bacterium
Lineage: Bacteria
Description: bacterial SSU rRNA
Rfam family: Bacterial small subunit ribosomal RNA
Source: RNAcentral